This is a long non-coding RNA of Arabidopsis thaliana (thale cress), 241 nucleotides long. RefSeq annotates it as other RNA. The transcript has a single exon. The record is from RefSeq. NCBI's taxonomy places the organism in Eukaryota, Viridiplantae, Streptophyta, Magnoliopsida, Brassicales, Brassicaceae.
ACGUGACAGGGUCUUUGUGGAAUUGUGUCGAACACCUGUGGGCAUCCUCCGUGUGGAGUAAAUGACAUAGCUUUCUCGAUUUAAUUGGACCUUCCCAGAGUAAAUUUGGGAGUGUAGAAAAAUAGAAAAGCAUUCAAAUUUGGGUGUGUAGUGACUUAUAAGUGGAAUUGUGUUCAUGUUUGGGAUCAAAUUGGUCAUCCCAAUAGGCUUUGGUUUUGAAAGAGCAACAGAAGGUGAAAGC